Non-coding RNA from Mycena crocata, 99 nucleotides. The record is from the annotation of a GenBank genome assembly. Lineage: Eukaryota; Fungi; Basidiomycota; Agaricomycetes; Agaricales; Mycenaceae.
GACCCGGUGGUGAAAUGACUCACAUCCGCUUCGUUUGGAACGCGGAGAGGGAGGAAUAUACUUAAGCGGAAGUCACCCGUUCAACUCGGGUCCGGGUCC